Molecule: long non-coding RNA, 383 nt
Organism: Trichoplusia ni (cabbage looper)
Lineage: Eukaryota; Metazoa; Arthropoda; Insecta; Lepidoptera; Noctuidae
Exons: 2
Source: RefSeq, a predicted model, not a curated record
CGAGUGAAGUUGGCCUCACAUGAAUGAAUCUCAUUAGCACAAUAAGAAGCUGCAGUGUAGUAUUUAUCACAAUACAAACAGUGUUUUCCUUGAUUAUGUGUAUCGUAAAUAUACGUUGAAAACUUGUGAUUAAAUAAUAAAAUACUUUAUUAAAAUGAAAGUGGACUUUUUUAGUAUAUUCAUUGUUUUAAUUGUGAUCAUCAGUUGCGUGCCAGGAUCAUUCGCGGCCUACAGGAGGAGGUCAUGCAGAGUGGACUGUAACGAGUUGUGUCAGACACGAGGCAAGAGUUCCGGCAGAUGUAUGAGCAGCACCUGCCGAUGUUUCGCAGGAGGCAAAUAUAGCGAAGACUAAAAUUAAUUGUUUAUUAAAUUAAUGACCAGUA